UUGUUUACACCAAAUGGUUUUGUAAAUAUUGCUUUUGGAAUAGUUUGUCUUUCUAUCCUUUGUCACUCAAUUUUGGUAUUCCCUUUCCCUUCCCUAGUUCUAAUACACAUAUAUACAGUAUCUAGGGUACUAAGAACAGAUACAGUGUUAGCAGUGGUACAACCACAGGAAGGGAAUACAAGAGGAUCAUCAACAAUAGAA
Perognathus longimembris pacificus (Pacific pocket mouse) is the source of this 201-nucleotide long non-coding RNA. RefSeq lists it as uncharacterized. The transcript has 2 exons. The record is from RefSeq and is a predicted model, not a curated record. NCBI's taxonomy places the organism in Eukaryota, Metazoa, Chordata, Mammalia, Rodentia, Heteromyidae.